RNAcentral lists this unclassified non-coding RNA (353 nucleotides) under soil metagenome. RNAcentral's name for it is "partial contains 5.8S ribosomal RNA, internal transcribed spacer 2, and large subunit ribosomal RNA". The stretch from base 1 to 120 matches the Rfam family "5.8S ribosomal RNA", at positions 35 to 154 of the family's 154-position model. The record is from RNAcentral.
GAUGAAGAACGCAGCGAAAUGCGAUAAGUAAUGUGAAUUGCAGAAUUCCGUGAAUCAUCGAAUCUUUGAACGCACAUUGCGCCCGCCAGUAUUCUGGCGGGCAUGCCUGUUCGAGCGUCAUUACAACCCUCAGGCCCCCGGGCCUGGCGUUGGGGAUCGGCGGAAGCCCCCUGCGGGCACAACGCCGUCCCCCAAAUACAGUGGCGGUCCCGCCGCAGCCUCCAUUGCGUAGUAGCUAACACCUCGCAACUGGAGAGCGGCGCGGCCACGCCGUAAAACACCCAACUUCUGAAUGUUGACCUCGAAUCAGGUAGGAAUACCCGCUGAACUUAAGCAUAUCAAUAAGCGGAGGA